GCGCAGGUGUAGCUCAGUUGGUUAGAGUGCCGGCCUGUCACGCCGGAGGUCGCGGGUUCGAGCCCCGUCACUCGCGCCA
RNAcentral lists this transfer RNA (79 nucleotides) under Rhizobium sp. RCAM05350. RNAcentral's name for it is "tRNA-Asp". It matches the Rfam family "tRNA". From Rfam's summary of the family: Transfer RNA (tRNA) molecules are approximately 80 nucleotides in length. Their secondary structure includes four short double-helical elements and three loops (D, anti-codon, and T loops). The record is from RNAcentral. Lineage: Bacteria; Pseudomonadati; Pseudomonadota; Alphaproteobacteria; Hyphomicrobiales; Rhizobiaceae.